GGAUGAACGCUGGCGGCGUGCCUAAUACAUGCAAGUCGAGCGAACUGAUUAGAAGCUUGCUUCUAUGACGUUAGCGGCGGACGGGUGAGUAACACGUGGGCAACCUGCCUGUAAGACUGGGAUAACUUCGGGAAACCGAAGCUAAUACCGGAUAGGAUCUUCUCCUUCAUGGGAGAUGAUUGAAAGAUGGUUUCGGCUAUCACUUACAGAUGGGCCCGCGGUGCAUUAGCUAGUUGGUGAGGUAACGGCUCACCAAGGCAACGAUGCAUAGCCGACCUGAGAGGGUGAUCGGCCACACUGGGACUGAGACACGGCCCAGACUCCUACGGGAGGCAGCAGUAGGGAAUCUUCCGCAAUGGACGAAAGUCUGACGGAGCAACGCCGCGUGAGUGAUGAAGGCUUUCGGGUCGUAAAACUCUGUUGUUAGGGAAGAACAAGUACAAGAGUAACUGCUUGUACCUGACGGUACCUAACC
This 475-nucleotide ribosomal RNA is filed under the name soil bacterium 09G-14. Its description in RNAcentral is "bacterial SSU rRNA". It matches the Rfam family "Bacterial small subunit ribosomal RNA", at positions 27 to 484 of the family's 1533-position model. The record is from RNAcentral. RNAcentral also lists the same sequence under 1 other name.